GGGGCGCAUGUGGGCAUUGCAGGGCCUCUCCCCCCAUCCGGUCUAAAGAGAAUCGGGCCUUCGACUUUGCUCAAGUUAGGGCGAGGUUCUCCUCCUGUCCCUAACAGGGCUGUGGGGGCGCAUGUGGGCGUUGCAGGGCCUCUCCCCCCAUCCGAUCUAAAGAGAACCGGGCCUUCGAUUUUGUCGAGAUGAAGUUCCCCUCUUGUUUCCGAUGC
This 215-nucleotide long non-coding RNA is filed under the name Elaeis guineensis (African oil palm). RNAcentral's name for it is "long non-coding RNA (EGUI_LNC066922)". Lineage: Eukaryota; Viridiplantae; Streptophyta; Magnoliopsida; Arecales; Arecaceae. The record is from RNAcentral.